RNAcentral lists this ribosomal RNA (560 nucleotides) under uncultured bacterium. Its description in RNAcentral is "bacterial SSU rRNA". It matches the Rfam family "Bacterial small subunit ribosomal RNA", at positions 62 to 601 of the family's 1533-position model. The record is from RNAcentral.
UCGAGCGAGAAGCCCGCAAGGGUGAGUAAAGCGGCGCACGGGUGAGUAACACGUGGGUAAUCUUCCUUGGAGCCCGGAAUAACUCCCCGAAAGGGGUGCUAAUGCCGGAUGAGACCACGGGAUCUCCGGAUCCUGAGGGAAAAGGCGGCCUCUGUACACAAGCUGUCACUCCAAGAUGAGCCCGCGGCCCAUCAGCUAGUUGGCGGGGUAAUGGCCCACCAAGGCAUCGACGGGUAGCUGGUCUGAGAGGACGAUCAGCCACACUGGAACUGAGACACGGUCCAGACUCCUACGGGAGGCAGCAGUGGGGAAUUUUGCGCAAUGGGCGAAAGCCUGACGCAGCAACGCCGCGUGUGUGAUGAAGGUCUUCGGAUCGUAAAGCACUGUCGGGAGGGACGAAUAAGGCGGCGGCUAAUAUCCGCAGCCGAUGACGGUACCUCCAAAGGAAGCACCGGCUAACUCUGUGCCAGCAGCCGCGGUAAUACAGAGGGUGCAAGCGUUGUUCGGAAUUAUUGGGCGUAAAGCGCGUGUAGGCGGCCUUGCAAGUUGGGUGUGAAAGC